CGGAAGGGUGAGGAACGCGUGAGUAAUCUGCCCCUCAGUUGGGAAUAACAGUUGGAAACGACUGCUAAUACCGAAUGUGGCUUAGGUUCCGCAUGGGACUUUGGCUAAAGAUUUAUCGCUGAGGGAUGAGCUUGCGUCCCAUUAGGUAGUUGGUGAGGUAACGGCUCACCAAGCCGACGAUGGGUAGCUGGUCUGAGAGGAUGGUCAGCCACACUGGGACUGAGACACUGCCCAGACUCCUACGGGAGGCUGCAGUCGAGAAUCUUGGGCAAUGCGCGAAAGCGUGACCCAGCAAUGCCGCGUGUAUGAUGAAGGCCCUCGGGUCGUAAAAUACUGUCUCCCGUGACGAAAUUUGACGGUAGCGGGGAAGGAAGCCACGGCUAACUACGUGCCAGCAGCCGCGGUAAUACGUAGGUGGCGAGCGUUGUUCGGAUUUAUUGGGCGUAGAGGGUCUGUAGGAGGUUUGUUAAAUACGGGGUGAAAUCCGGAAGCUCAACUUCCGAAUUGCCUUGUAGACUGACGGACUGGAGUACCGGAGAGGUAAGCGGAAUACCAGGUGUAGCGGUGGAAUGCGUAGAUAUCUGGUAGAACACCAAAAGCGAAGGCAGCUUACUGGACGGAAACUGACUCUGAAAGACGAAAGCAUGGGGAGCAAACAGGAUUAGAUACCCUGGUAGUCCAUGCCGUAAACGUUGUCAACUUGAUGUGGGGGGGAUUUAGUCCUCCCCGUAUCGAAGCUAACGCGAUAAGUUGACCGCCUGGGGACUACGGCCGCAAGGCUAAAACUCAAAGGAAUUGACGGGGGCCCGCACAAGCGGUGGAGCAUGUGGCUUAAUUCGAGGCAACGCGAAGAACCUUACCUGGUCUUGAAAUAUAUCGGAUCG
Molecule: ribosomal RNA, 884 nt
Filed under: uncultured bacterium
Lineage: Bacteria
Description: bacterial SSU rRNA
Rfam family: Bacterial small subunit ribosomal RNA
Source: RNAcentral